This 253-nucleotide ribosomal RNA is filed under the name uncultured bacterium. RNAcentral's name for it is "partial 16S ribosomal RNA". It matches the Rfam family "Bacterial small subunit ribosomal RNA", at positions 524 to 776 of the family's 1533-position model. The record is from RNAcentral.
UACGUAGGGGGCAAGCGUUGUCCGGAAUCAUUGGGCGUAAAGCGCGUGUAGGCGGCCCAGUAAGUCCGCUCUGAAAGCCCGGGGCUCAACCCCGGGAGGCGGGUGGAUACUGCUGGGCUCGAGUCCGGAAGAGGCGAGUGGAAUUCCUGGUGUAGCGGUGAAAUGCGCAGAUAUCGGGAGGAACACCUAUGGCGAAGGCAGCUCGCUGGGACGUUACUGACGCUGAGACGCGAAAGCGUGGGGAGCAAACAGG